GCGAACGCUGGCGGCAGGCCUAACACCUGCAAGUCGAACGAACUCUUCGGAGUUAGUGGCGGACGGGUGAGUAACACGUGGGAACGUGCCUUUUGGUUCGGAAUAACUCAGGGAAACUUGUGCUAAUACCGAAUGUGCCCUUCGGGGGAAAGAUUUAUCGCCAUUAGAGCGGCCCGCGUCUGAUUAGCUAGUUGGUGAGGUAACGGCUCACCAAGGCGACGAUCAGUAGCUGGUCUGAGAGGAUGACCAGCCACACUGGGACUGAGACACGGCCCAGACUCCUACGGGAGGCAGCAGUGGGGAAUCUUGCGCAAUGGGCGAAAGCCUGACGCAGCCAUGCCGCGUGAAUGAUGAAGGUCUUAGGAUUGUAAAAUUCUUUCACCGGGGACGAUAAUGACGGUACCCGGAGAAGAAGCCCCGGCUAACUUCGU
Molecule: ribosomal RNA, 431 nt
Filed under: uncultured bacterium
Lineage: Bacteria
Description: partial 16S ribosomal RNA
Rfam family: Bacterial small subunit ribosomal RNA
Source: RNAcentral